Molecule: ribosomal RNA, 400 nt
Filed under: uncultured bacterium
Lineage: Bacteria
Description: bacterial SSU rRNA
Rfam family: Bacterial small subunit ribosomal RNA
Source: RNAcentral
UGGGGAAUUUUGGACAAUGGGGGCAACCCUGAUCCAGCAAUGCCGCGUGCGGGAAGAAGGCCUUCGGGUUGUAAACCGCUUUUGGCAGGAGCGAAAAGGCUAGCGCUAAUACCGCUGGCUGAUGACGGUACCUGCAGAAUAAGCACCGGCUAACUACGUGCCAGCAGCCGCGGUAAUACGUAGGGUGCAAGCGUUAAUCGGAAUUACUGGGCGUAAAGCGUGCGCAGGUGGUUGCGUAAGAUGGGUGUGAAAUACCUGGGCUCAACCUGGGAAUUGCAUCUAUGACUGCGCGGCUAGAGUGUGGUAGAGGAGGGUAGAAUUCCGCGUGUAGCAGUGAAAUGCGUAGAUAUGCGGAGGAAUACCGAUGGCGAAGGCAACCCUCUGGACCAUAACUGACACU